This 6547-nucleotide long non-coding RNA is filed under the name Triticum aestivum (bread wheat). RNAcentral describes it as "long non-coding RNA (TAES_LNC006976)". The record is from RNAcentral. Lineage: Eukaryota; Viridiplantae; Streptophyta; Magnoliopsida; Poales; Poaceae.
CUCCAUUUAGACUUAGCUAAGAUUAGAUCUAAACACUAGAGCUUAGCUCAUGUACCUCCCCUUGUGGGAUUCCUCUUGAGAGAGAGACACUCCAUUGGAGUUCAAGGCUUCCAUUGGAGAAGAUCCCUAGUGGAUGAAGACCCCCUUGAGGGAAGGAUCUAUCUAGAUCAUCAAGCCCUCAUCUCCUUCAUAGGAUUUGGGAUGAACUCUACCAUGUAUCUUAUUUGCAUUUGAUUGUUCGUGUACCUUGUGGAUCUUGUGUGUUUGAUUGUCUAGUGGAUGUGUGAUUUGACUUGUUCUUGAGUGUUCCUCUUCUUUUCCCUCAUUUGUUCAUCUUGUUCUUGGGGAUUCCCCCUCCAAUUCGUGAAAGAUCUCCUCAUAGGGUUUCACCCUACAUCAUCUUGGUAUCAUGAGCCAUGGUUUCUCACGAAAUUGGAGCCCCCCUCUUUGUUUUCUAGCCUAAUUUUGCUUGUUCUUGCCCAGUUUCGAAAAUUCCCCACAAAAAGAGCCAUACCAAUUUUUUUUGUGAUUUGAAGUUUUUGUGAGUUUUUGUUGAUUUUGAUCCAUGGAUAUGAUGUAUAGCAAGUAGAUAUACCCCCUCUUGCGUCCCCAUACCACAAUUUUUUCUUUCCCCUUCGAAUUUGACAAGAAAAUUGCAAAAUUUCCGCCUACCCCGUGCCCACGGGCUCCCCACCCCGUGCCCACGGCCCCCCGCGAAGUACCUGGAGACGCCGUGUCCUCGGUACGUGUACCGUGCACACGGGACCCCAUGUCCACGGGCCCUGGACACUGUGCGCACGACCCCCUACAGCAGCCGCCCGGAUGUCACCAUUUUGGCCGUAACUUUCGCAUCCGAACUCCGAUUUGGGUGUUCUUUGGCUCAUUGAAAAGCUAGCGACGUGCCCGAGGUGCUCAUCUUGGUUUUACCACCAUUUGACUUCAUCAAAUUUUGUCCAUUUUACAUCUCUUGCAUCGGCCCUCCGCCAUAACUUUCGCACCACCACAUAAAACUUCCGCAAACUAACCCAUUUUGGUUCCUUUGGUAUUUGUGGUUGUUUGAGUUGUGAUUUGAGUCUCCUAAGGUGUUUCGGCUACUUAGGGACGGUUGCAUCUUCAUCCACCAUCGGUGACUUGUAUCGGUCCAUCGACUACAUCCACCACGAGCUUCCACAUCGACGAUGACCAUCCAUCCUUUGAGACCAUCUUCAACUGGAAGCAAGGCCAGUUACCCCCGACUUUGUGAAAGGUUAAAUGUGACGAAGGUAUCCAUUCCGUCAUAAACUUCUCCUUCCUUGCCAUUACAUCUUGAUAGCCCCACCAUCUUUGCGAAUACCUUCAUACCCAUUGAGACUAGCUAUCCGAGUAUUGCCGGGCUUAGCGAAAACUUGUGCACCAUAGUGAUACAAUAUCAUAUUGUUGCAUCAUUAGAUAUAUCAUAGUGUGCCAUUGUUUACUCCUGUGCAUAUCUUGUGAUACUUGUCCCAUAUUUGUGGUUGAGGCUCAUCAAGCAUAGUGGAAAGGAAGAGGAAAGUCAAAACAAAAAGAAAAAAAAGAAAAGCUUUUAAGCAAGAAAGAGAAUGAUCAUAAGCUUAUAAGCAAAGAGUUGAGCAUGAAAAGAGAUACUUGUGCAUGAGGAUACAUGGAAUAGGAAAUAUUCUUGUUGCAUACAUAUAGGUUGGUGCCAAGUAGUGAAUCGUGCCCAAGUGUGCAAUCAAGCUAGUGCUCUCCUAGUGUUUGUGCAACACGAUCUUCGUCUUCAUUAGGCAAUUUUGUAUUUCUCAUCCCUAUAGUUGCACAAGCCCCAUUAUCCCACCGUGUGUGUUUUUUUAUUGCCCUCCUCUAUAUUUGUGAUCACUUGCUUUGCAUUUUGAGUCCUUUGGAUUUAUUUCAACAUUUACAAUAUCUUGGACUUCAAUUUUCAUGAAAUUUGUGCCACUUGUCCUAACCAAGCCACUCGAUAAGCUUUACUUUGUAGGUGUGAGUGAACAAGUCCGGUACCAAUUCCACUAUUCUUUCAUUUCACAUUGAGUGAUACAAGAUACAUCCUCAACUUUGGGAAAAGGUAGCUUGGUAUUGUUUAUCUCAUUUCCUACUCACCUUUGCUCGAGUCUUGUGAUGGAUAGGCAAAGCACAUCAUCUCCGGUCUACAACAACGACGACGAGUUCGAUGCUAUGAAGAACUUCAUCGACGCCAAGAUGGACAAGCACAUGGAGGAGCUCAAGGCCCUCAUCAAGAACCGCAAGCGAUCUUCCUCAUCUUCGAGAAGACGCUCAAGUGCAAAGACUCCCGAGCUACCAUCUCCAGCAAGUACACACAAGCAUCGACAUUGACAUGACCAUGAAGAGCGAGCUUUAGGACACGUGUUGGCUGCUCUGCCAACCCCGUGCACACGGCCUCUUGCACCCCCGUGCACAUGGGCUAUACAGAGCCGCGACAUCAACUACAAGGCUGCGACUUCUUCAACACCUUUGGCAUCUUCGCCAAGUGACUUCAAGGCAUAUUUGCCUUCGGACGUACGGCAUCUUCGCCUACUCCACGAUCUCAAGUCCACUACUUCGAGCUACAACGACUUCAACAUCGCCGACGAGAUUCCAUUCUUUGGGACUAAUGACCCCGAUGAAUACCCCGAAUAGGAGUGCAAGAUGGACGACUACCUCAAGCUACAUCAAGUACCCUCCAAAGUCCAAGUGAAGUGCGCCACAAGUACCUUCCAUGACUAUGCGUUGAUUUGGUGGCUUCACUCACCUUCGAGGAGCUUCGACAUGAGUUGGUCCAACACGAAGAAAGCGAUGAGGCGAGAAUUUGUGCCUUCCACCUACACGGGACAUCUUCAACGCCAAUUGGAGAACACCAUACAAGUAUCCAAGUCCCUCGACGAGGACUUCAAGAACAUGAAGGAAGCCUUGCGACCUGCCGGCGUGGAUGACCCCAUUUGGAUGAAGUUCUACUUCAUGAUGGGAUUGAACAACGACAUCUCCAAGACUAUCUUCCUCGAGAACUACAAGUCCCUCGACGACAACUACUUUGGUGCUCUCAAGGCGGAGCAAGAACUCAAGAAGGCCAUGUCUAAUCGACCCCGAGCUCACUUCGCAACGACCAUGCUACAAGAUGGCGAGAGUGAUGAUGUGCCAUCUUCAGCCUUCAUCCAUGACGAGAGUGAUGAUGUGCCAUCUUCGGCCUUCAUCCACGGCGACGACUACGAGAUGGUUGAGCAUGGGAUUCUCCCUUUGACCACGGCGAUGUAUGAUGACUUGAGUGACUUUUUCCAACAUAUUGAGAGUGAGAGUGACUUCACCACUAGCCCCAUAUAUGAUGAGCUGCCCCAAUUCCCAUGUGAGGAGAGCCACCACCACCACCACUUGAGUGAUGUGAGUGCCUCCACCAUAUGCGACAUUGAGUGCACCUACCUUGACGGAGUGAGUGAGCCACCGCCACAUAGAGAGAGUGAGAUAGUUGAUGAGGCAUAUGAGGCCAUUUCGGUUUCUAACAACUUAACCUCUACCUCUCUUGUGUCUUCUCAUUUGGUGCUAGGUCCCAUAUAUGAUGACGCGCCGAUCCUCGACGACUUUGUCCUCCCUUUGGACAUGACGAUGGCCAUGGUGGACUAUGAUGCACCACCCACAUGGUUCCAUCACGAUGAAGAUGAACACGAUUUGGUCUUCCCCACCUCACCUACACCACUUGAGUGGAACGACAAAGGUAACAUAGGUAAAGGUGAUGCUUUUGUCCCACUAGUGGACAUUCUUGACAUUGAUUGCUUGCAUGAUGUUGAUCCACCUAUUACCAUGCUUCAUUCUAGUAUGAUUUCCCCAUGCGAUGAUUUGCCCAUUUAUGAUGAGUUUGAUGAUUGCCAUGAGGAGUCUAGUAGUUGUGAUGCCAUGUUACAUAGGAUUUCUUGUGAUAAUUCUCUUGGUCACAUCAUGUUUGAUGAUCCGCUUGACUUGUCAUAUGCUAUGCAUGAGCUCUCCCGUAUGUCAUAUUUGCAAUCUCAUUGUAGUGACUAUGCAUAUGCCAUUAAAAUAAACCCAAUUUGCACAUAUGGCAUAGAUGACAAGCCCAUGGUUAUUGGCAUUUGUUUUUCUUGUGAUGAUAUUGAUAUGCUCCCUUUGCAUCAAUUAUCUAAUAUGCCAUGCCAUGACCACCUAGCUUCGAACAUGCAUUGUUUGCCAUGUUGUCCAUUUUCUCCAUAUUAUGCUUUUGAUAUUGCUCAUGAGAAGACCCCCCAUAGUUUCCUCAUACCCAUUAGGAGAUUUUGAUCCAUCCUAUGAUUUGCAUGAUUUCCAUGAUUGUGUGCACCAUAUGCUCCCCAUGAAUAAACAUUCUUUUGAUGUGCCAUAUACUUGUUUGCUCAAUUUGUGUCCCCAUCGUGUCAUACAUAACAACUAUUCUUUCAUGAUGGAUGACAUGUUCAUAUACCAUGCCUCAAAUUUCUUUGAGCAUUGCUUAUCUUGUGCUAACUCACACGUGCACAUACACAUCAUGAUGGAUGAUGUGUACAUUUACCACACACACACAAUUUCUUUCAUUUGUGUCUCUUUUGUGUAGGUACCCAUGAAUACUUGUCAACCUCGCAAUCCCACGAGUUGACAAAACGAGCUCUAGAGAGCAACGAUGAUUUGGGAUUACGUGGAUUUUCAUUCCCACCGCUCCCUGUGCGCAAGGACUUCGCGCAUCUCUUCUACAUGGCCCUCACAUGGUUAUGGGUUAUAUAUCACUUCUUCCUUUAUGCCCAUAUUGCCAUGUUCAUUUUGCAUGAUAUGCUCAUUCCUAUGCAUUUGUCAUGCAUUGGUGACCCAUGCUUCGCAUUACACAUGAUGAUUGAUUCUAGUACUUGUAUGUGUAUUUGCAAGCUUGGUGGAGACAUUGCUUGUUAUUGCCAUGUUCCAUUUGCGACCCAUACCUAUGAUGAUACUAUGAUCUUGCUAUGUGUUCAUGCUAGCAACAUGUCAUAUGCAUUGUCUAUGCCUCUUAUUUGCUCACAUGACAUGAUUGCCAUGAUUUCCUCUAGUAUGUUGCAUCUUCACACUACUAGCUUGCAUGACUUGAUUCCUAUGAUUGCUUGCUUUGUUGCAUCACCAAUGCUUCAUACUUACUUAUUUCAUGCGGUUGAUGACAACCAUCUACAUGUUUGUCACAUGAUUGACUUGAUUGCCUCACACAUGUUGAACAAUUGCUCUUUACUUUGUGUUGAGUGCCACAAUAUCUUCACUACACCCUAUGCACAUUAUGCUUGGAUUGUCUUGCACUUGCCCCAUGUGUUUAGACAUUUCACUAUAGUUGGUGUUGUGAAUGACUCUUAUGCCUACCAUAGACCGUUCAUUGAGCACUUUAUGCAUGCUUGCUAUGACCUUGAAGUAGAUGCUUGUUUACUUAUCACAUAUAUUUGCAUCUCUACCUACCAUUUGCAUGCUUGUUCCCAUGAUGUACUUGAUUGUGCUCAAUUUAUAUGCUCAAAUGCCAUGCCACACUUCUUUGUCAAACCAUAUGCUAUGCUGGAUGACAACACUUGUUGGGUGGAUCACCUCUUGAAUGCUUGGUUUUGCUCUUACGACAACCACAUUUGUUUUUCCAAGUGCUUGUUAUCUUUGCUCCUUUUGAAGGAAUUACAAGAUGGUGCGACAUUAGAGAGUGCCCAUUUGGAACUACAAAAUGAUGAAUGCUUGGUGAUCGUCCACUUCUACACGAUGCCAUCAUCUCUUUCCCAUGGUGAUUUGGAUUUCUAUCCGAGGUUGGAUCUUUCCCAAAAGGGAGGGGAUGAUGCGGAGCAUCCUAUGGACAUCACCAUGUCAAGAGUCCAUUUGGCAAGUGACACGUGCCACAUCUACUUCAUGCAUACAAAGGUGAAUCAUCUCCUUUACACGUGUUCACUUGUACCCUUCGAGGAUGGUAUACUACUUGACCCCUCUCUCGUGUGCAUACUUAGGUGUGAGCGGAGCUACACAUUCAUCAUGGAGGAAUCCAAGCGCAAGAGAACAACUACACCAUCCAAGAUGGAAGCCUGGAAGCAGAGAAGGAAGCGCCAAGAAGAAGGCAGCAGCUCCCAGGCGACCGCGUGCGCACGGGCCCCUCCUACCCCAUGCCCACGGGCCUCCCAGGCUGGCGGUCCUGAAGACCCCGCGCGCACGGGCAUGUACCAUGCCCACGGGACCCCCGUGUCCACGGGCCUCCUGAACCCUGUGCGCACGGGCUCAUGCGUCCGGUCUCUAGAUACCCCGUGCGCACGGGCUCCACUUACCCCAUGCACACGGGGCCCCCUGUGCGUGGCUGUUGGGCUUGGCCCUUGUAUCCCCAUCUCGCCCCUAUUUACGCCUUCAUCCCUUGGACCUAUAUAUACUCCCCUUCCUCCUACAUUUAGACUUAGCUAAGAUUAGAUCUAAACACUAGAGCUUAGCUCAUGUACCUCCCCUUGUGGGAUUCCUCUUGAGAGAGAGACACUCCAUUGGAGUUCAAGGCCUCCAUUGGAGAAGAUCCCUAGUGGAUGAAGACCCCCUUGAGGGAAGGAUCUAUCUAGAUCAUCAAGCCCUCAUCUCCUUCAUAGGAUUUGGG